GAUGAACGCUGGCGGCGUGCCUAAUACAUGCAAGUCGAGCGAACGGACGAGAAGCUUGCUUCUCUGAUGUUAGCGGCGGACGGGUGAGUAACACGUGGAUAACCUACCUAUAAGACUGGGAUAACUUCGGGAAACCGUAGCUAAUACCGGAUAAUAUUUUGAACCGCAUGGUUCAAAAGUGAAAGACGGUCUUGCUGUCACUUAUAGAUGGAUCCGCGCUGCAUUAGCUAGUUGGUAAGGUAACGGCUUACCAAGGCAACGAUGCAUAGCCGACCUGAGAGAGUGAUCGGCCACACGAGAGCUUGACCACCGUCCAUACUCCUACGAGAGGCAGCAGUAUGGAAUCUUCCGCAGUGGUCGGGAACCUUGCGGAACGACGCCGCGUGUGUUAUAGAGAUCUUCGGAUCGUGAUACUCUGUUAUUAGUGAAAAACAUAUUUGUGAGUGACUGUACACAGCGUGACGGUACCUAAUCAGAAAGCCACGGCUAACUACGUG
This 497-nucleotide ribosomal RNA is filed under the name uncultured bacterium. RNAcentral describes it as "partial 16S ribosomal RNA". It matches the Rfam family "Bacterial small subunit ribosomal RNA", at positions 28 to 507 of the family's 1533-position model. The record is from RNAcentral.